Molecule: ribosomal RNA, 350 nt
Filed under: uncultured bacterium
Lineage: Bacteria
Description: bacterial SSU rRNA
Rfam family: Bacterial small subunit ribosomal RNA
Source: RNAcentral
UGAGGAAUAUUGCGCAAUGGACGAAAGUCUGACGCAGCCAUGCCGCGUGCAGGAUGACGGCGCUACGCGUUGUAAACUGCUUUUAUAUGCCAAGAAACCUUCGGACGUGUCCGAAGCUGACGGUAGCAUAUGAAUAAGCACCGGCUAACUCCGUGCCAGCAGCCGCGGUAAUACGGAGGGUGCAAGCGUUAUCCGGAUUUAUUGGGUUUAAAGGGUCCGUAGGCGGAUCAUUAAGUCAGUGGUGAAAGCCGGCAGCUCAACUGUCGAACUGCCAUUGAUACUGAUGAUCUUGAAUACGGUUGAAGUUGGCGGAAUAGGUCAUGUAGCGGUGAAAUGCUUAGAUAUGACCU